This 458-nucleotide ribosomal RNA is filed under the name uncultured bacterium. Its description in RNAcentral is "partial 16S ribosomal RNA". It matches the Rfam family "Bacterial small subunit ribosomal RNA", at positions 338 to 795 of the family's 1533-position model. The record is from RNAcentral.
CCUACGGGAGGCAGCAGUGAGGAAUAUUGGUCAAUGGCCGAGAGGCUGAACCAGCCAAGUCGCGUGAGGGAAGACGGCCCUACGGGUUGUAAACCUCUUUUGUCGGGGGCAAAGCGAGUCAAGGGGGAACCAUUGAGAGUACCCGAAGAAAAAGCAACGGCCAAACCCGUGCCAGCAGCCGGGGUAAUACGGAGGAUGCGAGCGUUAUCCGGAUUUAUUGGGUUUAAAGGGUGCGCAGGCGGAGGGGCAAGUCAGCGGUCAAAUUGCGGGGCUCAACCCCGUACUGCCGUUGAAACUGCAUCCCUUGAGUGCGCGAGAAGUAUGCGGAAUGCGUGGUGUAGCGGUGAAAUGCAUAGAUAUCACGCAGAACUCCGAUUGCGAAGGCAGCAUACCGGCGCGCAACUGACGCUCAUGCACGAAAGCGUGGGUAUCGAACAGGAUUAGAUACCCCUGUAGUC